Molecule: ribosomal RNA, 492 nt
Filed under: uncultured bacterium
Lineage: Bacteria
Description: partial 16S ribosomal RNA
Rfam family: Bacterial small subunit ribosomal RNA
Source: RNAcentral
AGUGAACGCUGGCGGUAGGCCUAACACAUGCAAGUCGAACGGCAGCACAGUAAGAGCUUGCUCUUACGGGUGGCGAGUGGCGGACGGGUGAGGAAUACAUCGGAAUCUACUUUUUCGUGGGGGAUAACGUAGGGAAACUUACGCUAAUACCGCAUACGACCUACGGGUGAAAGCAGGGGAUCUUCGGACCUUGCGCGAUUGAAUGAGCCGAUGUCGGAUUAGCUAGUUGGCUGGGUAAAGGCCCACCAAGGCGACGAUCCGUAGCUGGUCUGAGAGGAUGAUCAGCCACACUGGAACUGAGACACGGUCCAGACUCCUACGGGAGGCAGCAGUAGGGAAUAUUGGACAAUGGGCGCAAGCCUGAUCCAGCCAUACCGCGUGGGUGAAGAAGGCCUUCGGGUUGUAAAGCCCUUUUGUUGGGAAAGAAAAGCAGCAGGUUAAUACCCCGCUGUUCUGACGGUACCCAAAGAAUAAGCACCGGCUAACUUCGUG